Small nucleolar RNA from Drosophila takahashii, 108 nucleotides. RefSeq annotates it as small nucleolar RNA U3. NCBI's taxonomy places the organism in Eukaryota, Metazoa, Arthropoda, Insecta, Diptera, Drosophilidae. The record is from RefSeq and is a predicted model, not a curated record.
UGAAAUAAACUUGCGCUGGGAUCAUUUCUGUAGUCAGUCUUCACAUACUUUCACACUAGCUGAAAGCCAAGUGCACUCGCGUUGAUGAGUUGAAUCGUUCUAAGGGAU